This 497-nucleotide ribosomal RNA is filed under the name uncultured bacterium. RNAcentral describes it as "partial 16S ribosomal RNA". It matches the Rfam family "Bacterial small subunit ribosomal RNA", at positions 28 to 507 of the family's 1533-position model. The record is from RNAcentral.
GAUGAACGCUGGCGGCGUGCCUAAUACAUGCAAGUCGAGCGAACGGACGAGAAGCUUGCUUCUCUGAUGUUAGCGGCGGACGGGUGAGUAACACGUGGAUAACCUACCUAUAAGACUGGGAUAACUUCGGGAAACCGGAGCUAAUACCGGAUAAUAUUUUGAACCGCAUGGUUCAAAAGUGAAAGACGGUCUUGCUGUCACUUAUAGAUGGAUCCGCGCUGCAUGAGCUAGUUGGUAAGGUAACAUCUUAUCAAGGCAACGAUGCAUAUCCGACCUGAGAGAGUGAUCGCCCACACUGGAACUGAGACACGGUCCAGACGCCUACGGGAGGCAGCAGUAGGGAAUCUUCCGCAAUGGGCGAAAGCCUGACGGAGCAACGCCGAGUGAGUGAUGAAGGUCUUCGGAUCGUAAAACUCUGUUAUUAGGGAAGAACAUAUGUGUAAGUAACUGUGCACAUCUUGACGGUACCUAAUCAGAAAGCAACGGCUAACUACGUG